RNAcentral lists this ribosomal RNA (2761 nucleotides) under Escherichia coli. Its description in RNAcentral is "bacterial LSU rRNA". It matches the Rfam family "Bacterial large subunit ribosomal RNA". The record is from RNAcentral. Lineage: Bacteria; Pseudomonadati; Pseudomonadota; Gammaproteobacteria; Enterobacterales; Enterobacteriaceae.
ACACUAUCAUUAACUGAAUCCAUAGGUUAAUGAGGCGAACCGGGGGAACUGAAACAUCUAAGUACCCCGAGGAAAAGAAAUCAACCGAGAUUCCCCCAGUAGCGGCGAGCGAACGGGGAGCAGCCCAGAGCCUGAAUCAGUGUGUGUGUUAGUGGAAGCGUCUGGAAAGGCGCGCGAUACAGGGUGACAGCCCCGUACACAAAAAUGCACAUGCUGUGAGCUCGAUGAGUAGGGCGGGACACGUGGUAUCCUGUCUGAAUAUGGGGGGACCAUCCUCCAAGGCUAAAUACUCCUGACUGACCGAUAGUGAACCAGUACCGUGAGGGAAAGGCGAAAAGAACCCCGGCGAGGGGAGUGAAAAAGAACCUGAAACCGUGUACGUACAAGCAGUGGGAGCACGCUUAGGCGUGUGACUGCGUACCUUUUGUAUAAUGGGUCAGCGACUUAUAUUCUGUAGCAAGGUUAACCGAAUAGGGGAGCCGAAGGGAAACCGAGUCUUAACUGGGCGUUAAGUUGCAGGGUAUAGACCCGAAACCCGGUGAUCUAGCCAUGGGCAGGUUGAAGGUUGGGUAACACUAACUGGAGGACCGAACCGACUAAUGUUGAAAAAUUAGCGGAUGACUUGUGGCUGGGGGUGAAAGGCCAAUCAAACCGGGAGAUAGCUGGUUCUCCCCGAAAGCUAUUUAGGUAGCGCCUCGUGAAUUCAUCUCCGGGGGUAGAGCACUGUUUCGGCAAGGGGGUCAUCCCGACUUACCAACCCGAUGCAAACUGCGAAUACCGGAGAAUGUUAUCACGGGAGACACACGGCGGGUGCUAACGUCCGUCGUGAAGAGGGAAACAACCCAGACCGCCAGCUAAGGUCCCAAAGUCAUGGUUAAGUGGGAAACGAUGUGGGAAGGCCCAGACAGCCAGGAUGUUGGCUUAGAAGCAGCCAUCAUUUAAAGAAAGCGUAAUAGCUCACUGGUCGAGUCGGCCUGCGCGGAAGAUGUAACGGGGCUAAACCAUGCACCGAAGCUGCGGCAGCGACGCUUAUGCGUUGUUGGGUAGGGGAGCGUUCUGUAAGCCUGUGAAGGUGUGCUGUGAGGCAUGCUGGAGGUAUCAGAAGUGCGAAUGCUGACAUAAGUAACGAUAAAGCGGGUGAAAAGCCCGCUCGCCGGAAGACCAAGGGUUCCUGUCCAACGUUAAUCGGGGCAGGGUGAGUCGACCCCUAAGGCGAGGCCGAAAGGCGUAGUCGAUGGGAAACAGGUUAAUAUUCCUGUACUUGGUGUUACUGCGAAGGGGGGACGGAGAAGGCUAUGUUGGCCGGGCGACGGUUGUCCCGGUUUAAGCGUGUAGGCUGGUUUUCCAGGCAAAUCCGGAAAAUCAAGGCUGAGGCGUGAUGACGAGGCACUACGGUGCUGAAGCAACAAAUGCCCUGCUUCCAGGAAAAGCCUCUAAGCAUCAGGUAACAUCAAAUCGUACCCCAAACCGACACAGGUGGUCAGGUAGAGAAUACCAAGGCGCUUGAGAGAACUCGGGUGAAGGAACUAGGCAAAAUGGUGCCGUAACUUCGGGAGAAGGCACGCUGAUAUGUAGGUGAAGCGACUUGCUCGUGGAGCUGAAAUCAGUCGAAGAUACCAGCUGGCUGCAACUGUUUAUUAAAAACACAGCACUGUGCAAACACGAAAGUGGACGUAUACGGUGUGACGCCUGCCCGGUGCCGGAAGGUUAAUUGAUGGGGUUAGCGCAAGCGAAGCUCUUGAUCGAAGCCCCGGUAAACGGCGGCCGUAACUAUAACGGUCCUAAGGUAGCGAAAUUCCUUGUCGGGUAAGUUCCGACCUGCACGAAUGGCGUAAUGAUGGCCAGGCUGUCUCCACCCGAGACUCAGUGAAAUUGAACUCGCUGUGAAGAUGCAGUGUACCCGCGGCAAGACGGAAAGACCCCGUGAACCUUUACUAUAGCUUGACACUGAACAUUGAGCCUUGAUGUGUAGGAUAGGUGGGAGGCUUUGAAGUGUGGACGCCAGUCUGCAUGGAGCCGACCUUGAAAUACCACCCUUUAAUGUUUGAUGUUCUAACGUUGACCCGUGAUCCGGGUUGCGGACAGUGUCUGGUGGGUAGUUUGACUGGGGCGGUCUCCUCCUAAAGAGUAACGGAGGAGCACGAAGGUUGGCUAAUCCUGGUCGGACAUCAGGAGGUUAGUGCAAUGGCAUAAGCCAGCUUGACUGCGAGCGUGACGGCGCGAGCAGGUGCGAAAGCAGGUCAUAGUGAUCCGGUGGUUCUGAAUGGAAGGGCCAUCGCUCAACGGAUAAAAGGUACUCCGGGGAUAACAGGCUGAUACCGCCCAAGAGUUCAUAUCGACGGCGGUGUUUGGCACCUCGAUGUCGGCUCAUCACAUCCUGGGGCUGAAGUAGGUCCCAAGGGUAUGGCUGUUCGCCAUUUAAAGUGGUACGCGAGCUGGGUUUAGAACGUCGUGAGACAGUUCGGUCCCUAUCUGCCGUGGGCGCUGGAGAACUGAGGGGGGCUGCUCCUAGUACGAGAGGACCGGAGUGGACGCAUCACUGGUGUUCGGGUUGUCAUGCCAAUGGCACUGCCCGGUAGCUAAAUGCGGAAGAGAUAAGUGCUGAAAGCAUCUAAGCACGAAACUUGCCCCGAGAUGAGUUCUCCCUGACUCCUUGAGAGUCCUGAAGGAACGUUGAAGACGACGACGUUGAUAGGCCGGGUGUGUAAGCGCAGCGAUGCGUUGAGCUAACCGGUACUAAUGAACCGUGAGGCUUAACCUU